GCUGGAUGUAUACAGAUUGGCUCACGGGUGAGUAACACGAGGGAACGUGCCUUUCCUGUCCCAAUAACACAGAAUAAAUUUGUGCUAAUGCCUGCUACGUGCGAGAGCGUCUCUGGUAUCGCCGGAAGAUCGACCCGCGUCUGAUUAGCUAGUUGGUGAGGUAACGGCUCACGGGCCUGACUAUCAUCAGCUGGUCUGAGAGGAUGAUCUUACACACUGGAACUGAGACACGGGCCCUACUCCUACGACACGCCACACUGGGGAAUAUUGGACGAUGGGACCCCGCCUGAUGCAACCAUGCCGCGAGAUUGAUGAAUGCCCUAAGGUUGGAAGGCUCUUUUACCCGGGAACAUAAAGAGUGUUCCGAUCGAAUAACCCCCGGCUAACUUCGUGCCAACGACCGCGGUGAUACAAUGGGGGCUAGCUAACUACCGGAAUCACUGGGCGUAAAGCGCUCGUAGGCGGAUCUUUUCCUCAUACGUGAAAUCCCGGACCUCAGCUCCCGAACUGCCUUUGAUACUGUGGAUCUCCAUGCCUGAAGAGGUGAAUGCAACUGCGAGUGUCAGAUGAAAUUGCUACAUAUGCACGUGAACUUCACUGUGUAAUGCUGAUCAGCGGCCCGGAACUGACGCUGAGGAGCGAAAAAGGCGACCAGCAAACAGGAUACCUGACGCUGGUACGUCCACAGCCGUAGACAAUGGAUGCCAUUCGUUACCCCAGCUUGUCUGCUUACGUGGCACGAUGUAACACUGUGUGCAUCCCGGCUGAAAGAGUAUCGGU
RNAcentral lists this ribosomal RNA (780 nucleotides) under uncultured Alphaproteobacteria bacterium. RNAcentral's name for it is "bacterial SSU rRNA". It matches the Rfam family "Bacterial small subunit ribosomal RNA", at positions 79 to 887 of the family's 1533-position model. Lineage: Bacteria; Pseudomonadati; Pseudomonadota; Alphaproteobacteria. The record is from RNAcentral.